AAAGAAAAGAAUUAGAGGCAAUCCAGGACUCGUAGCUCACUGGAAGCUGUUCACUGUUGGUUCCCUCUCCCUGAUGUCUGCUUGGACCUGUGACUCCAAGAAGAGAAAGAGGCUGACAGAUAGGUGUGUGCACACACAUCUACACAUAGAGGCACACAGGAGAGAGGUGCAUUUGAAAGCAUUUCUGGCUUACCAACCUGAAAGACUGUGACAUUCAAGAAAACAGCAGACCGGGUACAAGGCAUCUGUG
This is a long non-coding RNA of Eptesicus fuscus (big brown bat), 250 nucleotides long. RefSeq lists it as uncharacterized. The transcript has 3 exons. NCBI's taxonomy places the organism in Eukaryota, Metazoa, Chordata, Mammalia, Chiroptera, Vespertilionidae. The record is from RefSeq and is a predicted model, not a curated record.